This is a non-coding RNA of Dipodomys ordii (Ord's kangaroo rat), 63 nucleotides long. NCBI's taxonomy places the organism in Eukaryota, Metazoa, Chordata, Mammalia, Rodentia, Heteromyidae. The record is from Rfam.
GGGAAUGUGGCUUAGUGGUAGAGUGCUUGCCUAACAUGCAUGAAGCCCUGGGUUCCAUUCCUC